GACGAACGCUGGCGGCGUGCUUAACACAUGCAAGUCGAGCGGUAAGGCCUUUCGGGGUACACGAGCGGCGAACGGGUGAGUAACACGUGGGUGACCUGCCUUUAGCUUCGGGAUAAGCCUGGGAAACUGGGUCUAAUACCGGAUAUGACCUCAUGUCGCAUGGUGUGGGGUGGAAAGUUUUUCGGCUAGAGAUGGGCCCGCGGCCUAUCAGCUUGUUGGUGGGGUGAUGGCCUACCAAGGCGACGACGGGUAGCCGGCCUGAGAGGGCGACCGGCCACACUGGGACUGAGAUACGGCCCAGACUCCUACGGGAGGCAGCAGUGGGGAAUCUUGCGCAAUGGGCGAAAGCCUGACGCAGCGACGCCGCGUGAGGGAUGACGGCCUGG
RNAcentral lists this ribosomal RNA (386 nucleotides) under uncultured bacterium. RNAcentral describes it as "bacterial SSU rRNA". It matches the Rfam family "Bacterial small subunit ribosomal RNA", at positions 28 to 419 of the family's 1533-position model. The record is from RNAcentral.